Molecule: long non-coding RNA, 260 nt
Filed under: Mytilus galloprovincialis (Mediterranean mussel)
Lineage: Eukaryota; Metazoa; Mollusca; Bivalvia; Mytilida; Mytilidae
Source: RNAcentral
UCUAUUGCGAUAAGACGUGUCACGGUACUUGUCUAUCCCAAAUUCAUGUAUUUGGUUUUGAUGUUAUAUUUGUUAUUCUCGUGGGAUUUUGUCUGAUGUUUGAUCCGUUUCUGUGUGUGUUACAUUUUAGUGUUGUGUCGUUGUUCUCCUCUUAUAUUUAAUGCGUUUCCCUCGGUUUUAGUUUGUUAUCCCGAUUUUGUUUUUUUGUCCAUGAAUUUAUGACUUUUGAACAGCGGUAUACUACUGUUGCCUUUAUUUAU